RNAcentral lists this ribosomal RNA (607 nucleotides) under uncultured Spirochaeta sp. RNAcentral's name for it is "bacterial SSU rRNA". It matches the Rfam family "Bacterial small subunit ribosomal RNA", at positions 306 to 916 of the family's 1533-position model. Lineage: Bacteria; Pseudomonadati; Spirochaetota; Spirochaetia; Spirochaetales; Spirochaetaceae. The record is from RNAcentral.
GCCCCCAGCUUAGUCGACGAUUCCUACGGGAGGCAGCAGCUAAGAAUCUUCCGCAAUGGGCGAAAGCCUGACGGAGCGACGCCGCGUGGACGAAGAAGGCCGGAAGGUUGUAAAGUCCUUUUCCUGGGGGAGAAUAAUGCGGGGAGGGAAUGCCCUGCAGAUGACGUGAACCAGGGAAUAAGCCCCGGCUAAUUACGUGCCAGCAGCCGCGGUAACACGUAAGGGGCGAGCGUUGUUCGGAUUUAUUGGGCGUAAAGGGCGUGUAGGCGGUAGUGCAAGUCUGGUGUGAAAGGCCCCGGCUCAACCGGGGAAGCGCGCUGGAAACUGUGCUGCUAGAGUUUAGGAGGGGAAGCUGGAAUUCCUGGUGUAGGGGUGAAAUCUGUAGAGAUCAGGAAGAACACCGGAGGCGAAGGCGAGCUUCUGGCCAUAGACUGACGCUGAGGCGCGAAAGCGUGGGGAGCAAACAGGAUUAGAUACCCUGGUAGUCCACGCUGUAAACGAUGUGCACUAGGUGUUGGGGGUAUGAACUCUCGGUGCCGGAGCUAACGCGUUAAGUGCACCGCCUGGGGAGUACGCCGGCAACGGUAAAACUCAAAGGAAUUGACGG